GAAGCGGCUCGCGCGGGCCCGGCCGGCAGCCGCUCCCCAGACACCGGGGAUCCGGCCCGACUGUUUCCUACCCACGACGGCGAAGACCCGCUACAGCGCGUCCACGAAGCCCCAGUACUGAGCCAGGACGGGGCUCUCCCUCUCGAUGUAGGCGACUACGAACUGCUCCGCCAGCCGGUGAGGCAGCUAAUUAAGAAAGCCACCUUCAGGAUGUCUUUCGAGAAUCUAGCCUCGAAGAAAGUCAUGUAAGAGAACGCCUGCAUCAAAAAGUCGGGAGGCCGGGCGGAGUCGCCGUUAAACGUCCAGGGAAAGCCACCAGGUGGGCCGGCGAACGCUCCCGGGCCAGCAGGUAGGCUUUCUCGCACAGCAGCCCCCGCACCCGGUCCGUAAGCUCGUUGUUCUCCCUGCGCCGGGCAUGGUUCUAGGUCAGGAGGUCCUACAUCAUGACAGCCAACGCGUCCAUCCUGCGCCUCCCCGCAGGCCUUGCUCCCCGCUCGGUCCCUCCCGGCCGCGGCGCUGCCGGAAGUGCGUGUCGGCGCGGGGGCGGAUCCCGGUGGCGGCGAGGGGCGGACUCCGCGGACAAGGCCAGGCCUAGCCUUGAGCUCCGUCGGGCAGGGCCGCCGGGAUUGGUGUCCGGCAGAGCGUGAGCCCAGCGGGCUGGAGUCGGCGAGCGGGAGUGAAAGAAGAAAAGCUAGAGAGCGAAGGCAAAGCCCGAGGAGAGAGGGCCGCGGUCGGCGGAGGAAUCUGACUGCACGGUUGCGUGCGCUCACUCCCGGAGGGCUCCCUCAGGCGGGCGGCUCCGCUAGUGGCUAAAGGCAAAGCAUUCCGGGGCGCGGCGCAUGAAGUUGAGCUUCGUCCCUGCUAGCCGCCGCUUUCUCCCCAAAAAUACAUCCUAGCCUUAAUGUUUAUGCCUCCAUUGCCCCAGUUCUUAUCUGUUUUGCUCAAUGUCUCAUAGCUACAAGAAGGCAAUUUCUGACGAAGCCCUCCGUCCCUUCCAAAUGGAUUAUUUUGGCGGGCUUCCACCCGGACAGUAUGCCACCCGAAUGACUGGACAAGUGCACGGGAGCGGCUGUCAUUUGCGGAGUGCGCCUUGCGAUCUAGGCGCCUCACAGCGCAAAUUAUCCAGUAAUUUCUCUGAAAUCGAUGCUGGUUUGUUUUCCCAAGGCAAAUCAGCAGCUUAUACAGACAUUGGGGCCACAAAGCCGGUGGAACAACGGGAGACGGCUUCCUGAGUGUCAGGUCCUCCAAGAUGAGCUUAAACUUCGGGUGGUGGGCAGGCUCGGUAGGCGGGAAAGGCCCGUGUCCAGAUGAAUGCAGUCCAUGUUUAUAUUGAUGAAAGACACGUAUACCAUUUGGUCCAGCUCAACCAUUCUUAACAAGUGCUGGCUGUGAGCACUGGUGUGUGUGUGCCUGCGUGCAACCAGCAAUGUAAGUGAUGACCAGCUGCAUGAUGCCUUAAUUUGAGUGGACAAAGUCGGUCAAGAACCACUUUCAGGCUUCUGGGUCUCCAAGUCUUUGUCUCCCUGUAUCCAAACGAGGCAUUCCAAGUUUGACAGCAUGGAACAUUGCAUGUCCGAAAUACCAACCGUGAAACUGGGUAAAAAGCUUCAGGAGGUGAUAUUGAUGUGUAUAGUUUAGGAAAUAAAACCCAAUACUUACUUCA
RNAcentral lists this long non-coding RNA (1663 nucleotides) under Homo sapiens (human). Its description in RNAcentral is "HSALNT0392636". Lineage: Eukaryota; Metazoa; Chordata; Mammalia; Primates; Hominidae. The record is from RNAcentral.